Molecule: unclassified non-coding RNA, 256 nt
Filed under: Hevea brasiliensis (rubber tree)
Lineage: Eukaryota; Viridiplantae; Streptophyta; Magnoliopsida; Malpighiales; Euphorbiaceae
Source: RNAcentral
AAAUAAGAUGUCAGCUAUUUCAACAUAUGAGAUAGGUGAAUCAAGUUUUCGAAAGGAUUCAAAUUUUGAAUAUCAAAACCCACAUGAUAUUUUUACUACCUCAAUCUACAAAAAUGGUGAAGAAUUUUUCACAAAAACACAAAAUUUGUCAAUCUACGACAAAUGUGAAGAAAAUUUCUUAAUCAUUCAAAAGCCGAAUGUUAUACAAAAUGUUUCAUUAUUUGAUAAAUUUUCUCUUGUUUCAAAAUCAUUAAAC